Rhagoletis pomonella (apple maggot) is the source of this 388-nucleotide long non-coding RNA. RefSeq lists it as uncharacterized. The record is from RefSeq and is a predicted model, not a curated record. The transcript is spliced from 3 exons. NCBI's taxonomy places the organism in Eukaryota, Metazoa, Arthropoda, Insecta, Diptera, Tephritidae.
CUGGCAUUCUUUUUGUUACAUCGUUUUUUUUGCAGGUAGGUUAAUAAUUUUAGGUGGAAAAUUAAAGAAAAAAUAAACAAAAGCGUACCUAAAGUGAUUUUAAGAAAGCGACUGACACAAGAAGGCAUAAUUAGUAUUGCUACGUCAAUAUGCGUUUGGCAAUAUUUCUUUUAAUAUUUUGCAUAUUCGAGUAUGCGCUGACCGUGGACCAAACGAAUUUCAAAACAUGUGAUCAGAGCAGUUUUUGCAGGCGAUGCCGCAAAGUGAAGCCAGAUAAUCCUAAAUUUGCUUUGGUACCUGGGACACUCAAUAUAUACUCAGAUUCCAUAACAGCCGAUCUGAUACAUAAGGACAACAAACAUUUGUUUAGCCUUAAGUUAGAAGCUUU